GGGGAUGUAGUUUAAUAUAGAGAAUGGGGCUUUUGUAAAGCUUUGGUGUUAGUCUUUCUCCA
Molecule: transfer RNA, 62 nt
Filed under: Prosthogonimus cuneatus
Lineage: Eukaryota; Metazoa; Platyhelminthes; Trematoda; Plagiorchiida; Prosthogonimidae
Description: tRNA-Thr
Source: RNAcentral